Long non-coding RNA from Symphalangus syndactylus (siamang), 595 nucleotides. RefSeq lists it as uncharacterized. The record is from RefSeq and is a predicted model, not a curated record. Lineage: Eukaryota; Metazoa; Chordata; Mammalia; Primates; Hylobatidae.
ACAAACACGUUACUCAGCAUGCUGUUGGUAUUGUAAACAACUUGUAAACAAACAAGUCAAGGGCAAGAAUCUUGCCAAGAGAAUUAAUGUGCGUAUUUAGCACAUUAAGCACUCUAAGAGCCAAGAUAGCUUCCUGAAACACAUAAAGGAAAAUGAUUGGAAAAACAAAGAAGCCAAAGAGAAAGGGAUGGCUGGGGGAGCCAGGGAGAAUCUCUCUAACUUCUCAAGCAUCUUUGAGUCCAACAAAACACAACAUGGAAAGUGAAGACUACACAUCAUAAAAGCCUCAAAUUUUAUCUAUGAGAAAACUGAAACCAACCCAAUAGUCCCACAGACAGUUCUUUUGGCACAAAAAGUAUCAAAGAACUGAAACCAGAUCACCCCACCAGAUGCCAGACCCCUCAUUCACCAUUAUUGCUUCCUUGCCCCUCCCAAGUUCCUGUUUUCUUAUACAUUGUUAUAAUCUAUGUCUUCCCUGCUAUAUAAACCCUGGUUUUAGUCAGUCAGGGAGAUGGAAUUGAGACCGAGCUCCCAUCUUCUCAGCUGCUGCACCUGAUUAAAGCCAUCUUCCUUGGCAAUACUCAUUGUCUCAGUG